RNAcentral lists this ribosomal RNA (253 nucleotides) under uncultured bacterium. RNAcentral describes it as "partial 16S ribosomal RNA". It matches the Rfam family "Bacterial small subunit ribosomal RNA", at positions 524 to 776 of the family's 1533-position model. The record is from RNAcentral.
UACGUAGGGUGCAAGCGUUAAUCGGAAUUACUGGGCGUAAAGCGUGCGCAGGCGGUUAUGUAAGACAGAUGUGAAAUCCCCGGGCUCAACCUGGGAACUGCAUUUGUGACUGCAUAGCUAGAGUACGGUAGAGGGGGAUGGAAUUCCGCGUGUAGCAGUGAAAUGCGUAGAUAUCGUUUGGAACGCCGAUGGUGAAAACAGGUUGCUGGGAGUGUGCUGACGCUGAGACACGAAAGCCAGGGGAGCAAACGGG